This 166-nucleotide ribosomal RNA is filed under the name Cystobasidiomycetes sp. RNAcentral describes it as "partial large subunit ribosomal RNA". It matches the Rfam family "Eukaryotic large subunit ribosomal RNA", at positions 99 to 261 of the family's 3401-position model. The record is from RNAcentral. Lineage: Eukaryota; Fungi; Basidiomycota; Cystobasidiomycetes.
UGGGAAAAGCUCAACUUUAAAAUCUGGCAGCUUCGCUGUCCGAGUUGUAGUCUCGAGAAGUGUUUUCCGCGUUAAUGCAUGUAUGAGUCUGUUGGAAUACAGCGUCAUAGAGGGUGAGAACCCCGUUCAUGACAUGCUUUUUAAUGCUCUGUGAUACACUUUCGAU